This 921-nucleotide ribosomal RNA is filed under the name Psychrobacter pulmonis. RNAcentral describes it as "bacterial SSU rRNA". It matches the Rfam family "Bacterial small subunit ribosomal RNA", at positions 65 to 990 of the family's 1533-position model. Lineage: Bacteria; Pseudomonadati; Pseudomonadota; Gammaproteobacteria; Moraxellales; Moraxellaceae. The record is from RNAcentral.
CACGGUUCGAGAAGAGAAAUCCGUCUAUUCUAGACCAGAGGCGGUUGGGUGAGUAAUACUUAGGAAUCUACCUAGUAGUGGGGGAUAGCUCGGGGAAACUCGAAUUAAUACCGCAUACGACCUACGGGAGAAAGGGGGCAACUUGUUGCUCUCGCUAUUAGAUGAGCCUAAGUCGGAUUAGCUAGAUGGUGGGGUAAAGGCCUACCAUGGCGACGAUCUGUAGCUGGUCUGAGAGGAUGAUCAGCCACACCGGGACUGAGACACGGCCCGGACUCCUACGGGAGGCAGCAGUGGGGAAUAUUGGACAAUGGGGGCAACCCUGAUCCAGCCAUGCCGCGUGUGUGAAGAAGGCCUUUUGGUUGUAAAGCACUUUAAGCAGUGAAGAAGACUCCAUGGUUAAUACCCAUGGACGAUGACAUUAGCUGCAGAAUAAGCACCGGCUAACUCUGUGCCAGCAGCCGCGGUAAUACAGAGGGUGCAAGCGUUAAUCGGAAUUACUGGGCGUAAAGCGAGCGUAGGUGGCUUGAUAAGUCAGAUGUGAAAGCCCCGGGCUUAACCUGGGAACGGCAUCUGAUACUGUUAGGCUAGAGUAGGUGAGAGGAAGGUAGAAUUCCAGGUGUAGCGAUGAAAUGCGUAGAGAUCUGGAGGAAUACCGAUGGCGAAGGCAGCCUUCUGGCAUCAUACUGACACUGAGGUCGAAAGCGUGGGUAGCAAACAGGAUUAGAUACCCUGGUAGUCCACGCCGAAACCGAUGUCUACUACUCGUUGGGUCCCUUGAGGACUUAGUGACGCAGCUACGCAUUUACUAGACCGCCUGGGGAGUCCGGCCCCAGGCUAAACUCAAUUGAAUGACGGGACCGCACAAGCGGGGAGAUGUGGUUUAUUCGAUGCAACACGAAAACUUACUGGUCUGGAAAACUC